Molecule: ribosomal RNA, 494 nt
Filed under: uncultured bacterium
Lineage: Bacteria
Description: partial 16S ribosomal RNA
Rfam family: Bacterial small subunit ribosomal RNA
Source: RNAcentral
GACGAACGCUGGCGGCGCGCUUAACACAUGCAAGUCGAACGGAAAGGCCUGCUUUCCCUUGUGGAUUGCGGGUACUCGAGUGGCGAACGGGUGAGUAACACGUGAGUGAUCUGCCCCCAACUUGGGUAUAAGCCUGGGAAACUGGGUCUAAUUCCCGAUAGGACUGCAGGGUGGUGCCUGUGGUGGAAAACGAUUUUCUAGUGGUUGGGGAUGAGCUCGCGGCCUAUCAGCUUGUUGGUGGGGUAAUGGCCUACCAAGGCGGCGACGGGUAGCCGGCCUGGGAGGGGGGACGCACACAUUGGGACUGAGUACCGCCCAAGACGCCGAGGGGAGGCAGGGGGGGGGAAGAAGGAAGGAGGGGGGGAAGCGAGAGGCACCGACGCCGGGGGGGGGGGAACGGCUUUGGGGUGGUAACCUCCUUGGGACGGAGAGAAGGCCCCGGGGUGGGAGGGGGGGUGAGGGUAGUGGAAGAAAAAGCACGGGCUAACUACGUG